This 30-nucleotide non-coding RNA is filed under the name Homo sapiens (human). The record is from RNAcentral. Lineage: Eukaryota; Metazoa; Chordata; Mammalia; Primates; Hominidae.
UCCAAUGAUUGAUAAGGUCAUGUAAGCCAC